GAGGUAAAGGCUCCCAAGGCCCACGAUCAGUAGCUGGUCUGAGAGGACGACCAGCCCCUGGGAACUGAGACACGGUCCAGAUCUACGGGAGCAGCAGUGGGGAAUUUUGGACAAUGGGCGAAAGCCUGAUCCAAGCAAUGCCGCGUGAGUGAAGAAGGCCUUCGGGGUUGUAAAGCUCUUUUGUCAGGGAAGAAACGGUUGGGCUAAUACCUGAGCUAAUGACGGUACCUGAAGAAUAAGCACCGGCUAACUACGUGCCAGCAGCCGCGGUAAUACGUAGGGUGCAAGCGUUAAUCGGAAUUACUGGGCGUAAAGCGUGCGCAGGCGGUUUUGUAAGUCUGACGUGAAAUCCCCGGGCUCAACCUGGGAAUUGCGUUGGAGACUGCAAGGCUAGAAUCUGGCAGAGGGGGGGUAGAAUUCCACGUGUAGCAGUGAAAUGCGUAGAGAUGUUGGAGGAACACCGAUGGGCGAAGGCAGCCCCCUGGGUCAAGAUUGACGCUCAUGCACGAAAGCGUGGGGAGCAAACAGGAUUAGAUACCCUGGUAGUCCACGCCCUAAACGAUGUCUACUAGUUGUCGGGGUUUUAAUUAACUUGGUAACGCAGCUAACGCGUGAAGUAGACCGCCUGGGGGAGUACGGUCGCAAGAUUAAAACUCAAAGGAAUUGACGGGGACCCGCACAAGCGGUGGAUGAAGGGGAUUAAUUCGAUGCAACGCGAAAAACCUUACCUACCCUUGACAUGUACGGAAGACCGAAGAAAUUUGGUUGUGCUCGAAAGAGAACCGUAACACAGGUGCUGCAUGGCUGUCGUCAGCUCGUGUCGUGGAGAUGUUGGGGUUAAGUCCCCGCAACGAAGCGCAACCCCUUGCAUUAAGUUGCUACCAUUUAAGUUGAGCACUCCUAAUGGGACUGCCCGGUGACAAACCCGGAGGAAAGG
RNAcentral lists this ribosomal RNA (937 nucleotides) under Massilia aurea. RNAcentral describes it as "bacterial SSU rRNA". It matches the Rfam family "Bacterial small subunit ribosomal RNA", at positions 254 to 1174 of the family's 1533-position model. Lineage: Bacteria; Pseudomonadati; Pseudomonadota; Betaproteobacteria; Burkholderiales; Oxalobacteraceae. The record is from RNAcentral.